This 97-nucleotide non-coding RNA is filed under the name Ctenophora environmental sample. Lineage: Eukaryota; Metazoa; Ctenophora. The record is from RNAcentral.
AACUAUUGGAAGGAAAAGAACUCCCAGGUGUCACUGCGCUAUCUGAUAUUUGACACUUACUUUUAAUUCUUUACAAAUAAAAUAAAAAAAAAAAAAA